This 433-nucleotide ribosomal RNA is filed under the name uncultured bacterium. RNAcentral describes it as "partial 16S ribosomal RNA". It matches the Rfam family "Bacterial small subunit ribosomal RNA", at positions 29 to 507 of the family's 1533-position model. The record is from RNAcentral.
AGCGAACGCUGGCGGCAGGCUUAACACAUGCCAGUCGAGCGGACCUUUCGGGGUCAGCGGCGGACGGGUGAGUAACGCGUGGGAACGUGCCUUCCGGUUCGGAAUAACCCUGGGAAACUAGGGCUAAUACCGGAUACGCCCUUAUGGGGAAAGGUUUACUGCCGGAAGAUCGGCCCGCGUCUGAUUAGCUAGUUGGUGGGGUAACGGCCUACCAAGGCGACGAUCAGUAGCUGGUCUGAGAGGAUGAUCAGCCACACUGGGACUGAGACACGGCCCAGACUCCUACGGGAGGCAGCAGUGGGGAAUAUUGGACAAUGGGCGCAAGCCUGAUCCAGCCAUGCCGCGUGAGUGAUGAAGGCCUUAGGGUUGUAAAGCUCUUUUAUCCGGGACGAUAAUGACGGUACCGGAGGAAUAAGCCCCGGCUAACUUCGUG